This 365-nucleotide long non-coding RNA is filed under the name Monodelphis domestica (gray short-tailed opossum). RNAcentral describes it as "lncRNA (ENSMODG00000047359.1)". The record is from RNAcentral. Lineage: Eukaryota; Metazoa; Chordata; Mammalia; Didelphimorphia; Didelphidae.
AUGCACAGAGAUAGUCCCACUCUCUCGGCAUUGGAAGCCUGGGUCCAGUGGCAUGAAAAAUCGUUACACCUGGAGACUUCCUCAGCUGCAUUGGAUGGCCAUGUUGUCCUUUGUGCUCCAACACGCCCUAAGCACUCCACAGUGCUUUGCUGCGUCGCCCUCUCAGCCGUUGAACCUUCUUAUUGGUUUCUUCCGUCUGUUCAGCCGAAGCAGUCUUCACAUGCUGGAUUUCAGGAUCACUCUCAUCACCUGCAUAAAAGAAUUAUAACUUCACAUUCACUGAGCCAUAAAGUGUUCGUCUCUGUUUUCUAAAAUUAACCACUUUGAGAAAAGAGUUACCAGAAUAAAAGACAUCAUUAAAGACA